Dioscorea cayenensis subsp. rotundata (Guinea yam) is the source of this 356-nucleotide long non-coding RNA. RefSeq lists it as uncharacterized. The transcript has 3 exons. Lineage: Eukaryota; Viridiplantae; Streptophyta; Magnoliopsida; Dioscoreales; Dioscoreaceae. The record is from RefSeq and is a predicted model, not a curated record.
AUCAUUGAAUACCUUAGUGCUGAAGAUUAUGUGACAAAGUUUAGUGGAGUCUAGUGCCAAUUCUCGUACUGUAUUCAAUGUAAUCAGUAGGGAGUCUUGAUUAGUAAUCUGUUUAUUUCCCAUACUGUUAGCAUGGUAUUAAACGGGGCCAUCAUCUGGACGAAAUCUUAAUGGUGCGCUUUAACAGGACUAUCUCCCCACCACAUUCUGUAGAAUAAUUAAUGCUGAAGAAUCUUCUGGUUCAUCUUCUAAGGGAUGAUUAGGCAGCACUAAAGUUAACAUAUUGACCAUCAAUGUCUGCGAGGAGUCCACAGCCAUCAAGCAGUGAACAUAAAGCUGCGAAUGAAGAAUGUUAU